RNAcentral lists this ribosomal RNA (472 nucleotides) under uncultured bacterium. RNAcentral describes it as "bacterial SSU rRNA". It matches the Rfam family "Bacterial small subunit ribosomal RNA", at positions 355 to 825 of the family's 1533-position model. The record is from RNAcentral.
UCGGGAAUUUUGGACAAUGGGCGAAAGCCUGAUCCAGCCAUGCCGCGUGUGUGAAGAAGGUCUUCGGAUUGUAAAGCACUUUAAGUUGGGAGGAAGGGCCAUUACCUAAUACGUGAUGGUUUUGACGUUACCGACAGAAUAAGCACCGGCUAACUCUGUGCCAGCAGCCGCGGUAAUACAGAGGGUGCAAGCGUUAAUCGGAAUUACUGGGCGUAAAGCGCGCGUAGGUGGUUUGUUAAGUUGGAUGUGAAAUCCCCGGGCUCAACCUGGGAACUGCAUUCAAAACUGACUGACUAGAGUAUGGUAGAGGGUGGUGGAAUUUCCUGUGUAGCGGUGAAAUGCGUAGAUAUAGGAAGGAACACCAGUGGCGAAGGCGACCACCUGGACUGAUACUGACACUGAGGUGCGAAAGCGUGGGGAGCAAACAGGAUUAGAUACCCCGGUAGUCCCUGAGCGGGCUGGCAAGGCGCAU